UGGGGAAUCUUAGACAAUGGGGGAAACCCUGAUCUAGCCAUGCCGCGUGAGCGAUGAAGGCCUUAGGGUUGUAAAGCUCUUUCAGCUGGGAAGAUAAUGACGGUACCAGCAGAAGAAGCCCCGGCUAACUCCGUGCCAGCAGCCGCGGUAAUACGGAGGGGGCUAGCGUUGUUCGGAAUUACUGGGCGUAAAGCGCACGUAGGCGGAUUAGUCAGUCAGAGGUGAAAUCCCAGGGCUCAACCCUGGAACUGCCUUUGAUACUGCUAGUCUUGAGGUCGAGAGAGGUGAGUGGAAUUCCGAGUGUAGAGGUGAAAUUCGUAGAUAUUCGGAGGAACACCAGUGGCGAAGGCGGCUCACUGGCUCGAUACUGACGCUGAGGUGCGAAAGCGUGGGGAGCAAAACAGGAUUAGAUACCCUGUAGUCCACGCCGUAAACGAUGAUGCCAGUCGUCGGGUUGCAUGCAAUUCGGUGACACACCUAACGGAUUAAGCAUUCCGCCUGGGGAGUACGGUCGCAAGAUUAAAACUCAAAGGAAUUGACGGGGUCAUAGCUGUUUCCUG
This 560-nucleotide ribosomal RNA is filed under the name uncultured bacterium. Its description in RNAcentral is "partial 16S ribosomal RNA". It matches the Rfam family "Bacterial small subunit ribosomal RNA", at positions 355 to 1376 of the family's 1533-position model. The record is from RNAcentral.